Regulatory RNA element from Dialister invisus CAG:218, 89 nucleotides. It matches the Rfam family "Glycine riboswitch aptamer". Rfam says of the family: This family represents the bacterial glycine riboswitch. Glycine riboswitches usually consist of two metabolite-binding aptamers domains with similar structures in tandem. The record is from Rfam. Lineage: Bacteria; Bacillati; Bacillota; Negativicutes; Veillonellales; Veillonellaceae.
CGGACAUACUCUGGAGAGUGCCAUUUUGGCCGCCGAAGGUGUAAGGAUUGAGAUCCAAAUCUCUCAGGCAAAAGGACAGAGCAAAAGAC